CGGAAGAAGCAUUGUUAAGGAACUCGGCAAAAUGACCCCGUAACUUCGGGAGAAGGGGUGCCAACGAGAGUUGGCCGCAGAGAAUAGGCUCAAGCAACUGUUUAGCAAAAACACAGGUCUAUGCAAAACCGUAAGGUGAGGUAUAUGGGCUGACGCCUGCCCGGUGCUGGAAGGUUAAGAGGAGAGGUUAGCGCAAGCGAAGCUUUGAAUUUAAGCCCCAGUAAACGGCGGCCGUAACUAUAACGGUCCUAAGGUAGCGAAAUUCCUUGUCGGGUAAGUUCCGACCCGCACGAAAGGCGUAAUGAUUUGAGCGCUGUCUCGACAAUGCAUCCGGUGAAAUUGAAGUACCAGUGAAGAUGCUGGUUACCCGCGCCAGGACGGAAAGA
This 386-nucleotide ribosomal RNA is filed under the name Fusicatenibacter saccharivorans. RNAcentral's name for it is "partial 23S ribosomal RNA". It matches the Rfam family "Bacterial large subunit ribosomal RNA", at positions 1691 to 2088 of the family's 2925-position model. The record is from RNAcentral. Lineage: Bacteria; Bacillati; Bacillota; Clostridia; Lachnospirales; Lachnospiraceae.